Molecule: ribosomal RNA, 433 nt
Filed under: uncultured bacterium
Lineage: Bacteria
Description: partial 16S ribosomal RNA
Rfam family: Bacterial small subunit ribosomal RNA
Source: RNAcentral
AACGAACGCUGGCGGCAUGCCUAACACAUGCAAGUCGAACGAGACCUUCGGGUCUAGUGGCGCACGGGUGCGUAACGCGUGGGAACCUGCCCUUAGGUUCGGAAUAACUCCCCGAAAGGGGUGCUAAUCCCGGAUAAUGUCUUCGGACCAAAGAUUUAUCGCCUUUGGAUGGGCCCGCGUUGGAUUAGCUAGUUGGUAGGGUAAAAGCCUACCAAGGCGACGACCCAUAGCUGGUCUGAGAGGAUGAUCAGCCACACUGGGACUGAGACACGGCCCAGACUCCUACGGGAGGCAGCAGUGGGGAAUAUUGGACAAUGGGCGAAAGCCUGAUCCAGCAAUGCCGCGUGAGUGAUGAAGGCCUUAGGGUUGUAAAGCUCUUUUACCCGGGAUGAUAAUGACAGUACCGGGAGAAUAAGCUCCGGCUAACUCCGUG